Non-coding RNA from Peromyscus maniculatus bairdii (prairie deer mouse), 809 nucleotides. The record is from RefSeq and is a predicted model, not a curated record. NCBI's taxonomy places the organism in Eukaryota, Metazoa, Chordata, Mammalia, Rodentia, Cricetidae.
UGACAGCCUGCAGUAACAAGUGAAAGAUACCAACAUCCAUCAGCAUCCUCUCCAUGACAGCCUGCAGUAACAAGUGAAAGAUACCAACACCCAUCAGCAACCUCUCCAUGACAACCUACAGUAACAAGUGAAAGAUACCAACAUCCAUCAGCAUCCUCUCCAUGACAGCCUGCAGUAAUAAGUGAAAGAUACCAACAUCCAUCAGCAUCCUCUCCAUGACAGCCUACAGUAACAGGUGAAAGAUACCAACAGAAAGGGACAGAAUUCCAGCAUUCCACACAAAUCUCCAGUGAUCGCUGUCACAACACAGACUCCAGGGAGGACUGAAGAAUAAUAAAACGGCAAAUGCAGAUACUGUUGAUUCCAGGGCAACACCAAGUGCCUGGUGCCAUGCGUCACCCUGCAAGGGUGGGAACACCACAUUGCACAGGCGAAGGAGCAGAAACGCAGCCCAAGGCAGGAAGCUGCUGCCUAUGACCUGGGUAAGGGCCCAGGGGACUGGGCGCGUGAGCAGCGUGUGCUCAACAGCGCCAAGCUGAGGGCUGCGGCGACAGGCAUAGCAAGAUGGAUUCAGUCUCUACCUCAGUGCUUCUUGUGUGGAAGACAGUGAAGACUGCGUUCCGGACAGGGAUGCAUACAAUGGAACUGGAGUUCUCUCAGCAGACGAGCAGGAGUUCUAAAAAACCCCGCGGUACUCUGCCGUCUCCUGGGCUGGAGCCUGGCCCUACACAGCCCUUUCAGAUAAAUCCUGCUCCUUGAAUGCCAGUUUUGAGGCUUAGGGAUUAAACCUCACUGCUAUAGAUUUCAGA